AAGGCAGGAAUUGGUGGGUACUGUAGUA
This 28-nucleotide non-coding RNA is filed under the name Rattus norvegicus (Norway rat). The record is from RNAcentral. Lineage: Eukaryota; Metazoa; Chordata; Mammalia; Rodentia; Muridae.